CUUAUACUCCCUCCGUCCGGAAUUACUUGUCGUAAAAAUGGAUAAAAAUGUAUCUAGACAUAUUUUAGUUAUAGAUACAUUAAUUUUCAUCCAUUUCUACGACAAGUAAUUCCGGACGGAGGGAGUACAUA
This is a non-coding RNA of Triticum aestivum (bread wheat), 131 nucleotides long. Lineage: Eukaryota; Viridiplantae; Streptophyta; Magnoliopsida; Poales; Poaceae. The record is from Rfam.